This 64-nucleotide transfer RNA is filed under the name Mactra alta. RNAcentral describes it as "tRNA-His". The record is from RNAcentral. Lineage: Eukaryota; Metazoa; Mollusca; Bivalvia; Venerida; Mactridae.
GCUGGUUUAGUUUAACGGGAAAACGUUGCGGUGUGGGCGCAGAAACAGGAAAUCCUAGCUAGUU